This 1221-nucleotide long non-coding RNA is filed under the name Homo sapiens (human). RNAcentral describes it as "long non-coding RNA NONHSAT212025.1". Lineage: Eukaryota; Metazoa; Chordata; Mammalia; Primates; Hominidae. The record is from RNAcentral.
UUCAUCUCCAUCACCAGUUCAAAGGUGAGUAUCUGUGUGGCUACUGUACUUGCUCUUGUUACUGAGUGGAAGCCUGGACUUGUGAACCUCUUCAGGGACCCUCCUUCUCUCAGGAGGGCAGUGGGCAGCCCUCAGUCUCCCUGGCUUAUUGGGGACAUGCUGCCUCUCAUCCUGUGAGCUCCAGUUGGAACCCUUGAGUUGUCUGAGAGGUAAGAUGGGCUGGGCCCCAUCUAAAAAGACAAUCUGCUGCUUCCUCAACACCAAUGAAUCCCAAAUUGUCAGAGCUGGAAGGACAUUUUUUGAUUACUGGUAGAUUCCACCCUACUUCUAAGGACGCUAUAGAUGGGGAGGUGGAAACUGGGGCCGAGGGAAGUCCAGGGACUUACCAACACCAUAUCUUUAAAUCUAUUAUGAUUUUUUAAAAAGUCCCUGUUUGGGAUGGAAAGGCAUGGUCUAAAUAAGCCCUCAAAGAAAAGCCAUUUUAGGACAUUUUUGCACUUCAGGACAUUGGCUUAUGGUGGGUCAGGGGAGUGGGGAGUGUGGUGUCCAGUCUCUGCUGGGUGAUGCCUUAGAUGUUGAUAUCAGGGGGGUACAUGAGCUCAGGUGUCAUGGGGUGCAUGGGGCAGUGUCCUGGAAGGAGGAUGGGCAGCAGUGGUGUAAGGAGUUCUCCGGCUCCACAGGUCCAGGGCCUGGCUCCUUGCCUGUGCCUUUGGCUGAAGCAGAGAAUGGCCCCAGCAGCUCACCCAUAUAUCAUGGGGUGGCCAAGGCACUCCUGUGCUUAGAUGUCCUGGAUUUAUGGCGUCAACUGGACAAGGUGCUGGUGCCUGUGCCUUCUGUCUCUGCUCUCCCAGCCCCAGCAGCACCAGCUCCUCCGGCUACCUGGUGCUUCUGGUCACCCAGGCCCUGCAGGCCCCAGGCCUCCUCCUCCCCAGAGCCUUCACUCAAGCCUUCCCCCUCCCUGCAGCCCCACCUGCUGUUUCCCCACCAGGGGGACCCUCCCCCGACAUCCCGCACAGCCUCCAUCCAGGCAGGGACUCCUGUGAUGAGCUGCCUGUGAGGAAGAUGCCUGGAGACUGUGUCUGAUCCAUCUCUGAACCUGGACAAGCUUGGCUUGUGGGCGGUCGAUGAGCAUCUGAGGAAUACAUGAAAGUGACUUUCAGAGGCAAUGUGGACGUCCCCAUCUGCUCCCAUCUGUUCUUCUUAAGUAAGGAAAGACGGUUG